Molecule: ribosomal RNA, 463 nt
Filed under: uncultured bacterium
Lineage: Bacteria
Description: partial 16S ribosomal RNA
Rfam family: Bacterial small subunit ribosomal RNA
Source: RNAcentral
GAUGAACGCUGACAGAAUGCUUAACACAUGCAAGUCUUUGGCGAAUCUGUGCUUGCACAGGCUAGCCAAGGCGGACGGGUGAGUAACGCGUAAAGAACUUGCCCUGCAGACAGGGAUAACAGACGGAAACGACUGAUAACACCUGAUACAGUUGCCGGCACGCAUGUGCCUGGCAAUGAAAAGAGAUGCUGCAGGAGAGCUUUGCGUCCUAUUAGCUUGUUGGUGAGGUGACGGCUCACCAAGGCGAUGAUAGGUAGCCGGCCUGAGAGGGUGAACGGCUACAAGGGGACUGAGAUACGGCCCUUACUCCUACGGGAGGCGGCAGUGGGGAAUAUUGGACAAUGGGGGCAACCCUGAUCCAGCAAUUCUGUGUGCACGAAGAAGGUUUUCGGAGUGUAAAGUGCUUUCAGCAGGGAAGAAGAAAGUGACGGUACCUGCAGAAGAAGCGACGGCUAAAUACGUG